This 878-nucleotide ribosomal RNA is filed under the name Chelatrema neilgherriensis. Its description in RNAcentral is "partial large subunit ribosomal RNA". It matches the Rfam family "Eukaryotic large subunit ribosomal RNA", at positions 386 to 892 of the family's 3401-position model. Lineage: Eukaryota; Metazoa; Platyhelminthes; Trematoda; Plagiorchiida; Gorgoderidae. The record is from RNAcentral.
GUGCUGUAAAGGGGAUCAUCGGUAAACAGAUGGGGUUGAACUGCAUAUUUUGAGAAUUCAGCUGGUGAGUAUGAUUUGAGCUUGGUCAAAUUCGUCGAGCUCCGGGGUAUGCUUAGCUGCAUGUCUCCGCCUUCGGGUGGCAGAUGCGUGACGCACUUAUCAAGUGUUGUGCGCUCCGGGUGUUCUUCGGGCUCGCUUGCCAGUGCACUUUCUCAGAGUGGUCACCACGACCGGCGCUGCUGUCUGACUAUUGUGGUUAAACCGAUCUCGCAUUGUCCUUGUGGCUUUGUUUGGUCGGGAUGGCAGGUGGCUCGUUUGCUUGCAUUGCUUGCUUUCGAGUGUAAUCAGCUGACCAUGAUGGUUCUGUGCAGUGCGUCGGAGACGGCGGCUAGUGGUGUGUGCAUUCGUGCCUGAUCUACUGGCGUAUCCUGGUCUGGUCGCUAUGUUGUUCGUUUUAGCGGGCCGAGUGAUGGCUGGGGUACGUCCGGUGGGUGGUUGCGUUUGUGACACUUUCCAAGGGCCAAUAGUCCUGGGUGUUGUGGUAGAUUACCCAUCUGACCCGUCUUGAAACACGGACCAAGGAGAGUAACAUGUGCGCGAGUCAUUGGGCGCAACGAAACCCAUAGGGCGCAGUGAAAGUGAAGGCCUGGCUCGUUCAGGCUAAGGUGAGAUCCUGUCGUUUCUCACGCGUGGUUCCUCCAAGCAUUGAGCGAUAGGCGCAUCACCGGCCCGUCCCAUGACGUAGACGUGGUCUUCGGACCGUGCAUCGUCGGGGCGGGGCAUGAGCGUACAUGUUGAGACCCGAAAGAUGGUGAACUAUGCUUGCGCAGGUUGAAGCCAGAGGAAACUCUGGUGGAGGACCGUAGCGAUUCUGACGU